This 224-nucleotide non-coding RNA is filed under the name Pseudomonas putida KT2440. The record is from RNAcentral. Lineage: Bacteria; Pseudomonadati; Pseudomonadota; Gammaproteobacteria; Pseudomonadales; Pseudomonadaceae.
UCUCCUUAUGCCUCGCGUUCAGGUGCCCCUCAGGGGGUGAAACGGGAAACCGGUGCGUCCCAGGCCCUUCAGCAGGGCCGGACAAUGCCGGUGCUGCCCCCGCAACGGUAAGCGAGUGAAGCGUCUGUACCACUGUGCCUCGUAGUACGGCAUGGGAAGGUGACGCGUUCCAGGAGCCCAGCUCUUCCUCGCAAGCCCGGAGACCGGCCUGGCGUUCAUGAACA